Molecule: ribosomal RNA, 314 nt
Filed under: Salmonella enterica subsp. enterica serovar Montevideo
Lineage: Bacteria; Pseudomonadati; Pseudomonadota; Gammaproteobacteria; Enterobacterales; Enterobacteriaceae
Description: partial 23S ribosomal RNA
Rfam family: Bacterial large subunit ribosomal RNA
Source: RNAcentral
UAGGUAGCGCCUCGUGAAUUCAUCUCCGGGGGUAGAGCACUGUUUCGGCUAGGGGGCCAUCCCGGCUUACCAACCCGAUGCAAACUGCGAAUACCGGAGAAUGUUAUCACGGGAGACACACGGCGGGUGCUAACGUCCGUCGUGAAGAGGGAAACAACCCAGACCGCCAGCUAAGGUCCCAAAGUCAUGGUUAAGUGGGAAACGAUGUGGGAAGGCCCAGACAGCCAGGAUGUUGGCUUAGAAGCAGCCAUCAUUUAAAGAAAGCGUAAUAGCUCACUGGUCGAGUCGGCCUGCGCGGAAGAUGUAACGGGGCU